CCCCAUAAAGCUUUUCCACUGUCAAAAAAGAAAGCUGAGCUGUGUUGUCCAAAUGAAAGGCUGUUCCUUGGGUAGUGUGAGGCACAGGGUCCUCCUUCUGAUGUCUCUAGAGAGCCUUGGAGCCAAGGCUGCCACCACUAAGGAGAGCACAGGUCCAAGACAACUGAAAUGACUGGAUUUUGCCUCUGUGAGAUUCUGGGCUUGAGACCCUGAACCCUGCAAGCAGGAUGUCCUCCUCAUUUCUGGCUCCUGGAACCAUCUCCUGUUGUCCUUUCCCCUCCCUGCCUCUACCAUCCCCAGGCGGUGUGACAGCAGGAGUGGAAGCUCUUGUCCUGCUGGGUGCCCAGGCACUUGUGAGCUGGAGACAUCCCGUCACGGGCCUGGUGUUGUUUGGGCAGAGGCUGCUUUUCCCGACUUGAAUAAAGAUGAGCAUUUUGGAAUUGCA
Phalacrocorax carbo (great cormorant) is the source of this 445-nucleotide non-coding RNA. The record is from RefSeq and is a predicted model, not a curated record. NCBI's taxonomy places the organism in Eukaryota, Metazoa, Chordata, Aves, Suliformes, Phalacrocoracidae.